UGCGUAGGCGGCUUGAUAAGUCAGAGGUGAAAGCCCACCGCUUAACGGUGGAAUUGCCUUUGAUACUGUUGGGCUUGAAUAAGGCUGAGGUCGGCGGAAUGUGUCAUGUAGCGGUGAAAUGCAUAGAUAUGACAUAGAACACCAAUUGCGAAGGCAGCUGACUAGACCUUUAUUGACGCUGAGGCACGAAAGCGUGGGGAGCGAACAGGAUUAGAUACCCUGGUAGUCC
This 229-nucleotide ribosomal RNA is filed under the name uncultured bacterium. Its description in RNAcentral is "partial 16S ribosomal RNA". It matches the Rfam family "Bacterial small subunit ribosomal RNA", at positions 568 to 796 of the family's 1533-position model. The record is from RNAcentral.